GAUUAAGAAGACAAAUAAUUGCACUUAAUUUCGACCUAAGUCUUGAUAAUAAUAUAUUAUCCUUAAUCA
RNAcentral lists this transfer RNA (69 nucleotides) under Scolytinae sp. BMNH 1043133. Its description in RNAcentral is "tRNA-Arg". Lineage: Eukaryota; Metazoa; Arthropoda; Insecta; Coleoptera; Curculionidae. The record is from RNAcentral.